CCUGAGUACGACGGAGCACGUGAAAUUCCGUCGGAAUCUGGGAGGACCAUCUCCUAAGGCUAAAUACUCUCUAGUGACCGAUAGUGAACCAGUACCGUGAGGGAAAGGUGAAAAGUACCCCGGAAGGGGAGUGAAAGAGAACUUGAAACCGUGUGCUUACAAGUAGUCAGAGCCCGUUAAUGGGUGAUGGCGUGCCUUUUGUAGAAUGAACCGGCGAGUUACGAUCUGAUGCAAGGUUAAGCAGAAAAUGUGGAGCCGUAGCGAAAGCGAGUCUGAAUAGGGCGAAUGAGUAUUUGGUCGUAGACCCGAAACCAGGUGAUCUACCCUUGGUCAGGUUGAAGUUCAGGUAACACUGAAUGGAGGACCGAACCGACUUACGUUGAAAAGUGAGCGGAUGAACUGAGGGUAGCGGAGAAAUUCCAAUCGAACUUGGAGAUAGCUGGUUCUCUCCGAAAUAGCUUUAGGGCUAGCCUCAAGUGAUGAUUAUUGGAGGUAGAGCACUGUUUGGACGAGGGGCCCCUCUCGGGUUACCGAAUUCAGACAAACUCCGAAUGCCAAAUAAUUUAACUUGGGAGUCAGAAUGUGGGUGAUAAGGUCCAUAUUCGAAAGGGAAACAGCCCAGACCACCAGCUAAGGUCCCAAAAUAUAUGUUAAGUGGAAAAGGAUGUGGCGUUGCCCAGACAACUAGGAUGUUGGCUUAGAAGCAGCCAUCAUUUAAAGAGUGCGUAAUAGCUCACUAGUCGAGUGACACUGCGCCGAAAAUGUACCGGGGCUAAACAUAUUACCGAAGCUGUGGAUUGUCCUUU
RNAcentral lists this ribosomal RNA (806 nucleotides) under Staphylococcus pseudintermedius. RNAcentral's name for it is "partial 23S ribosomal RNA". It matches the Rfam family "Bacterial large subunit ribosomal RNA", at positions 407 to 1215 of the family's 2925-position model. The record is from RNAcentral. Lineage: Bacteria; Bacillati; Bacillota; Bacilli; Caryophanales; Staphylococcaceae.